RNAcentral lists this ribosomal RNA (253 nucleotides) under uncultured bacterium. RNAcentral describes it as "partial 16S ribosomal RNA". It matches the Rfam family "Bacterial small subunit ribosomal RNA", at positions 524 to 776 of the family's 1533-position model. The record is from RNAcentral. RNAcentral also lists the same sequence under 1 other name.
UACGGAGGGUGCAAACGUUGCUCGGAAUCAUUGGGCGUAAAGCGCACGUAGGCGGUCCAGCAAGUCGGGUGUGAAAGCCCUCGGCUUAACCGAGGAAGUGCAUUCGAAACUACUGGACUUGAAUACUGGAGAGGGUUGCGGAAUUCCCGGUGUAGAGGUGAAAUUCGUAGAUAUCGGGAGGAACACCAGUGGCGAAGGCGGCAACCUGGACAGAUAUUGACGCUGAGGUGCGAAAGCGUGGGGAGCAAACAGG